Molecule: ribosomal RNA, 425 nt
Filed under: uncultured bacterium
Lineage: Bacteria
Description: partial 16S ribosomal RNA
Rfam family: Bacterial small subunit ribosomal RNA
Source: RNAcentral
GUGGGGAAUCUUAGACAAUGGGCGCAAGCCUGAUCUAGCCAUGCCGCGUGAGCGAUGAAGGCCUUAGGGUUGUAAAGCUCUUUCGUGGGGGAAGAUAAUGACUGUACCCCAAGAAGAAGCCCCGGCUAACUCCGUGCCAGCAGCCGCGGUAAUACGGAGGGGGCUAGCGUUGUUCGGAAUUACUGGGCGUAAAGCGCACGUAGGCGGACUGGAAAGUCAGGGGUGAAAUCCCGGGGCUCAACCCCGGAACUGCCUUUGAGACUCCCAGUCUUGAGUUCGAGAGAGGUGAGUGGAAUUCCGAGUGUAGAGGUGAAAUUCGUAGGUAUUCGGAGGAACACCAGUGGCGAAGGCGGCUCACUGGCUCGAUACUGACGCUGAGGUGCGAAAGCGUGGGGAGCAAACAGGAUUAGAUACCCUAGUAGUCC